AUUGGGUCUAAAGGGUCCGUAGCCGGUUGGUCAGUCCUCCGGGAAAUCUGAUAGCUCAACUAUUAGGGCUUUCGGGGGAUACUGCCAGACUUGGAACCGGGAGAGGUAAGAGGUACUACAGGGGUAGGAGUGAAAUCUUGUAAUCCCUGUGGGACCACCUGUGGCGAAGGCGUCUUACCAGAACGGGUUCGACGGUGAGGGACGAAAGCUGGGGGCACGAACCGGAUUAGAUACCCGGGUAGUCCCAGCCGUAAACGAUGCUCGCUAGGUGUCAGGCAUGGCGCGACCGUGUCUGGUGCCGCAGGGAAGCCGUGAAGCGAGCCACCUGGGAAGUACGGCCGCAAGGCUGAAACUUAAAGGAAUUGGCGGGGGAGCACAACAACGGGUGGAGCCCUGCGGUUUAAUUGGACUCAACGCCGGACAACUCACCGGGGGGCGACAGCAAUAUGUAGGCCAAGCUGAAGACUUUGCCUGAAUCGCUGAGAAGAGGUGCAUGG
RNAcentral lists this ribosomal RNA (497 nucleotides) under uncultured archaeon. Its description in RNAcentral is "bacterial SSU rRNA". It matches the Rfam family "Archaeal small subunit ribosomal RNA", at positions 503 to 997 of the family's 1478-position model. The record is from RNAcentral.